Molecule: small RNA, 606 nt
Filed under: Pongo abelii (Sumatran orangutan)
Lineage: Eukaryota; Metazoa; Chordata; Mammalia; Primates; Hominidae
Description: processed transcript
Source: RNAcentral
GACCGCGGCCGGGGCUCCGGGAGCGGGGUAACGUGGCUGCAGCCUUAGCGACAUCAGGAAGAACAGGGUCGAGGAUAGAGGCGAGGAAUUGCCUUGGCUUCCUUAGGAGGCCCAAUUUAUGCAAUUGGAGGGUUAGAUGACAAUACUUGCUUCAAUGAUGUGGAGAGAUAUGACAUAGAAUCUGAUCAGUGGAGUACAGUGGCACCAAUGAAUACUCCCCGUGGAGGAGUUGGCUCUGUUGCUCUAGUAAACCAUGUUUAUGCAGUAGGUGGCAAUGAUGGAAUGGCUUCUUUAUCUAGCGUGGAGAGAUAUGAUCCACAUCUGGAUAAGUGGAUAGAAGUUAAAGAAAUGGGUCAAAGAAGAGCAGGCAAUGGAGUUAGCAAGCUUCAUGGUUGCUUAUACGUAGUUGGUGGUUUUGAUGAUAAUUCUCCUCUGAGUUCAGUUGAGCGGUAUGACCCCCGAAGCAACAAGUGGGAUUAUGUGGCAGCACUUACUACUCCCAGAGGUGGAGUGGGAAUCGCAACAGUGAUGGGCAAAAUCUUUGCAGUUGGUGGUCAUAAUGGCAAUGCAUACUUAAAUACAGUAGAAGCGUUUGAUCCAGUGCUG